UCGAGGGGUAACAGGAGUAGCUUGCUACUUGCUGACGACCGGCGCACGGGUGCGUAACGCGUAUACAAUCUACCUUAUACUGAAGAAUAGCCCAGAGAAAUUUGGAUUAAUGCUUCAUAAUAUUUUAAAACCGCAUGGUUUUAAACUUAAAGCUCCGGCGGUAUAAGAUGAGUAUGCGUGAUAUUAGCUAGUUGGUGAGGUAACGGCUCACCAAGGCAACGAUAUCUAGGGGGUCUGAGAGGACUAUCCCCCACACUGGUACUGAGACACGGACCAGACUCCUACGGGAGGCAGCAGUGAGGAAUAUUGGGCAAUGGAGGCAACUCUGACCCAGCCAUGCCGCGUGAAGGAAGAAGGUCUUAUGGAUUGUAAACUUCUUUUAUUUGGGAAGAAACCUAUCUACGUGUAGAUAGCUGACGGUACCAAACGAAUAAGGACCGGCUAACUCCGUGCCACCACCGCGGUAUACGGAGGGUCCAGCGUAUCCGGAAUCAUUGGGUUAAAGGGUGC
This 510-nucleotide ribosomal RNA is filed under the name uncultured prokaryote. RNAcentral's name for it is "bacterial SSU rRNA". It matches the Rfam family "Bacterial small subunit ribosomal RNA", at positions 62 to 570 of the family's 1533-position model. The record is from RNAcentral.